This 557-nucleotide small RNA is filed under the name Pongo abelii (Sumatran orangutan). Its description in RNAcentral is "retained intron". The record is from RNAcentral. Lineage: Eukaryota; Metazoa; Chordata; Mammalia; Primates; Hominidae.
UCCUAUACCCAGCAGCCCAGCUGCAGCACCUCUGGAGGCUCCUGCUUCUGAACCAGUUCCAUGAUGUGGUGACUGGAAGCUGCAUCCAGAUGGUGGCAGAGGAAGCCAUGUGCCACUAUGAAGACAUCCGUUCCCAUGGCAAUACACUGCUCAGCGCCGCAGCCGCAGCCCUGUGUGCUGGGGAGCCAGGUCCUGAGGGCCUCCUCAUCGUCAACACGCUGCCCUGGAAGCGGACCGAAGUGAUGGCCCUGCCCAAACCAGGCGGGGCCCACAGCCUAGGUAUGAGCUGAGGGGAAGGGUUGCUACUGCAGCAGGAAGGAUGGAGGCCAGACAGAUCAGGCCUGGGAUACCCCUAGGGAUCUGGGUGCCCUUGAAUGGAGAGUAGUAGCACAUCUUCCACCACCCCAUCCCCACCUGCGCAAGCUUCCUGAAAGGUCAGGAAGGCUGCACUGAUGCCCAGGCCUCACCCCCAGCCCUGGUGACAGUGCCCAGCAUGGGCUAUGCUCCUGUUCCUCCCCCGACCUCGCUGCAGCCCCUGCUGCCCCAGCAGCCUGUGU